Armigeres subalbatus is the source of this 3408-nucleotide long non-coding RNA. RefSeq lists it as uncharacterized. The transcript is spliced from 4 exons. The record is from RefSeq and is a predicted model, not a curated record. NCBI's taxonomy places the organism in Eukaryota, Metazoa, Arthropoda, Insecta, Diptera, Culicidae.
AGGUUUUAACUACUUAUACACAAGGAUGUUAUCAAUCAUUUAGAAAUUAGCGUUCGAUCAUUUAGUAGUUUGUUAAUAACUCAUUACAAAAGCUGAAUUUCAAAAUGUGUUGUAUGGUGGACUUCUAGUUCUUUUCUACAACUCUGCCUAAUGGUUCGUUGUUUGAAUUCAACUAGUAACAGAGUUAUAGCUAUAGUUUCAGUAACUUAGACUAAAUGAUAACAAAAUUCCAAUAAUUUAGUUUAAGUUACUGCAACUAGCGCUAUAACUCCGUUAUUAGUUGAAUUCUUUUAACGAACCAUUAGGCAGAGUUGUAGAAAAACCUUCGCACCAGAAGUCUACCAUACAACACAUUUUGAAAUUGUGGAAUGAGUUAUUGACAAACUACUAAAUGAUCGAACGCAAAAUACUAAAAUUUAGAUCAUUUAAUGAUCGAUAACAUCCUUGGAUAUACAUUUGUAUUUUCAGGAUUUAACUAGAUAUACAUUUUAAAUGAUUGACUGUGUAGUGUGUAUACAAUCCGUCUAGCAUAUUCUAGGAUGGGAAACAUUCUCGGCUCCCUGGGCACACUUGCCACGCAAGAUACAUGGUAUUCAUGCAGUUGGCGGCCAUAAAAACGCAUUCAAUUAUAAUGUGGAAAAGCUUAUAGAGCACCAAGUUGGAAAGCUGGCUAAGUUCCAGUUGGUAUGUAGUGUCAUUAAAGGUGAAGAAGACUUCAGUGUGUUCAGCUAUAAAAAAAAAACAAAAUCAAAACACGACUCAUAUUCCAUUCAAUUCCACCAUUUGAUUGUAAGUUUUCCGAUUCAUAUUUCGACAUGAACAGUAUGGUAAAUCUAAAAUUUAAGGUCAAAAUUAACUACCACAAUGAAAUAUUCAAUAAAAUCUUUACACUAUAGAUGCAUUAAUUUAUUUUAUAUUGCUUUUUUCACAGAAACAGAAUGGAUUGAACAACAUACCUGGCUUGCCUAAAUUCUUUUAGCAAACCUAUCUCAAUCAGGCUCUUCAAUCAGGUCCCGGUUCAUUAAAUUUGAGAGCGGAGUGGGUGGAGGUAUGUUUGUCCAGCAUAUCCUAAUGCCUGGCCAGGCGGGAUAUUUAAAUCAUCAGAUCCUCAAUCAAUCAUUAGCACCGCAGAUCCUUUUCUUGUCCAAUCAGAUGCAGAAUAACAUUGAGGUGAGUAUUUAAUAUGACUACAUUUGUUGUUCACUUAGUUAUGCAUUUCCGAAUUUUAGCGGAAUAAUUUAUAACGAGCUGAUUGUUCUUCCACAUAUCAAAUGUCGUUGAUUCCGAUAAGAAAGAAACAAAUUACCCACAAAAAGUAAUCUUGAACAAGCAUUCUGGAAACAUCAACCACCUGGCAGAUAACUUUCAUUGUGGACUUAAUGAUCUAACUGUCGCGACCGGGUAUCCUCGUCCCGCGGUUCAUUGUCGUGAAUAACACCACCAGCGAUGGCUCGACGCUCCAAGAUUGGAAUUGAUUGACGGAUUGCGGAAAGCACAACUUCAGCAGCCGGACAUCGGAACGAUGGAAGGAUGAAGCGGUGUCAACAUUUGGACCGAGGACUAUAAUCGGAUGGGACAGUCAGAAGCCGGCAUAAUAUCUACUCCGACGAUGGGUAAAGCCGUAACACCGCCCUCUAUUAUUCGGAGUGUCCAGCCAACGCGGGUGGUGUUAUUCACGACAAUGAACCGCGGGACGAUGAUGCCCGGUCGCGACAGUUAGAUUAUUAAGUUCACGACGGAAGUUAUUUGCCAGGUGGUUGAUAUUUCCAGAAUGCUUGUUCAAGAUUACUUUUUGUGGGUGAUUUGAUUCUGCAAUCCACCAAUUUGUUGCUUUAUUAACGGAAUCAUCGACAUUUGUUUAUUCGAAGAGCAAUCAGCUCGUUUUAAAUUAUUCUGCGUAACUUGUAGUUCCUAAACUUCGGAAACGCAUAAAUACUAAGUGAACAACAAAUGUAGUCAUACGUAGUCAUACCAAAUACUCACCUCAAUGUUAUUCAGCAUCUGAUUGAACCAGAAAAGGAUCUGUGGUGCUUAUGAUUGAUUUAGGAUUUGAUGAUUUAAAUAUCCCACUUGGACAGGAAUUAUGAUCUGCUGGACCAACAUACACAGCCGCAGGGUUGAUGACUGGGCAGAUGGAGUUCUGGGCAGCUCCAACACCAUAAAAAACGCCAGCUAUACCCCACCCACUCCGUUCUCGAAUUGAAUGAACCGGGACCUGAUUGAGAUAGCUUUGUAAUAAUUUGCUAAGAGGAUUUAGGUCAGUUCAUGUUGUUGUUCAAUCCAUUCUGGUUCUGUGUGAAAAACAAUUUAGAAAUAAUUAAAGCAUCUAUAGUGUAAAGAUUUUAUUGAAUAUUUUAUUGUUGUAGUUUAUUCUUGAAGUAUUCUUCACCAUCAAUGACUACAUACCAACUGGAACUUGGCCAGCUUUUCAUCCUAGUGUUCUGUAAGCUUUUCCACAGCUAUUAAAUGAAAGCUUUUUUUAAAGCCGCCAACUGCUCGAAUGCCACACUCAAAUUAAAUGGCUGAUAAAUUAUAAGUGCAAAAAGCACAUAGACGACGAGCGCAAUUCAAAAUUUACAUUCUAAGUGCGCCUAAUAAAAAUCAUGUAUAAAUAUUAAUUAUUAUAAGAGGUUCAAAUAUACUAUAUUAUGUGUAAAAUGAAUUUGUAGUGCACAAUAUAAACAAAAUAUUAGUCUUGUCAUUAUUCAUUUCGAAAACCCCAAAAACGAAAAUGUUUCUACUGCAACUGCAUUAUACGGAAACUCGAGGAGAAGGAAAACUCUUCAAAUACUGCUUGAAAGAACCUGCCGAAUUUCUCAGCAAUUACAAGCCUAUAUUUCAGAACCUAACUAAACAUCGAACAUAGGUUCGGAACUGAGAAUUCGGAAUACUACAAGGGACGAGAUGGUUCUACGGCUGGAGCUACGCUAUACGGGAGUAUAACAACUGCCUAGAGGAGUAUACAUAGAUAACUUCUACCAUUUCCGCUCAGGCUGAUUUUCAAGUACACGUAUACGGAAAUUUCGGUUUCGACGCUGGUUCAUUUAGCUCAGGAAAGUUUUGGAGAAUCUGUUCAUUUUUCAGACCAAAGAAAGGUCGAAUGAUUACUGGUAACAACGAAACUCGCUUGAUGCAGCAGGAAAAAGGACUCAAGGAGAAAUGACGAAUAGUCUGACAAGUAAAAAGCAGGAUGCAGUAUCUUCGUGGGCUUCCAAACUAUUGCAUGUUAUGUACUCUUCUGAAACAUUUAUUGAGAUAUCUGUUAUGUUAGCUAUCAUAUAUCUUAUAAGCACAACUAUUAUCAAUAAACACAAAUAAACCAUGAAAAUAAAAACAAUUUUUAAUGCCUGGCUUUGAUUCAAAUAAGAUUGAUAAAUAUGUGCAAUGAUAUUGAAAACCGAUCAGUAA